GCUAUGUUCGGAAAAGAUAACCGCUGAAAGCAUCUAAGCGGGAAACUUGCCUCAAGAUGAGAUCUCACUGGGAACUUGAUUCCCCUGAAGGGCCGUCGAAGACUACGACGUUGAUAGGCUGGGUGUGUAAGCGUUGUGAGGCGUUGAGCUAACCAGUACUAAUUGCCCGUGAGGCUUGACCAUAUAACACCCAAACA
RNAcentral lists this ribosomal RNA (197 nucleotides) under Pseudomonas aeruginosa. Its description in RNAcentral is "partial 23S ribosomal RNA". It matches the Rfam family "Bacterial large subunit ribosomal RNA", at positions 2748 to 2925 of the family's 2925-position model. Lineage: Bacteria; Pseudomonadati; Pseudomonadota; Gammaproteobacteria; Pseudomonadales; Pseudomonadaceae. The record is from RNAcentral.